GUCCACGCCGUAAAACGAUGGAUACUAGCUGUUGGGCGCAAGUUCAGUGGCUAAGCGAAAGUGAUAAGUAUCCCACCUGGGGAGUACGUUCGCAAGAAUGAAACUCAAAGGAAUUGACGGGGGCCCGCACAAGCGGUGGAGCAUGUGGUUUAAUUCGAUGAUACGCGAGGAACCUUACCAAGGCUUAAAUGUAGAUUGACCGGUUUUGGAAACAGAUACUUUCGCAAGACAAUUUACAAGGUGCUGCAUGGUUGUCGU
This 258-nucleotide ribosomal RNA is filed under the name uncultured bacterium. RNAcentral's name for it is "partial 16S ribosomal RNA". It matches the Rfam family "Bacterial small subunit ribosomal RNA", at positions 793 to 1055 of the family's 1533-position model. The record is from RNAcentral.